The sequence is a ribosomal RNA, 402 nucleotides long. It matches the Rfam family "Bacterial small subunit ribosomal RNA", at positions 355 to 774 of the family's 1533-position model.
UGAGGAAUAUUGCACAAUGGAGGAAACUCUGAUGCAGCAACGCCGCGUGAAGGAUGAAGGUUUUCGGAUUGUAAACUUCUUUUAUUGGGGAAGAUAAUGACGGUACCCAAUGAAUAAGCCACGGCUAACUACGUGCCAGCAGCCGCGGUAAUACGUAGGUGGCAAGCGUUGUCCGGAAUUACUGGGUGUAAAGGGCGAGUAGGCGGGUUUUCAAGUCAGAUGUGAAAUCUGGAGGCUCAACCUCCAAACUGCAUUUGAAACUGAAAGUCUUGAGUGAUGGAGAGGCAGGCGGAAUUCCCGGUGUAGCGGUGGAAUGCAUAGAUAUCGGGAGGAACACCAGUGGCGAAGGCGGCCUGCUGGACAUUAACUGACGCUGAGGAGCGAAAGCGUGGGGAGCAAACA